GUGGGGAAUUUUGGACAAUGGGCGCAAGCCUGAUCCAGCAAUGCCGCGUGCAGGAAGAAGGCCUUCGGGUUGUAAACUGCUUUUGUACGGAACGAAACGGUCCGGGUUAAUACCCUGGGCUAAUGACGGUACCGUAAGAAUAAGCACCGGCUAACUACGUGCCAGCAGCCGCGGUAAUACGUAGGGUGCAAGCGUUAAUCGGAAUUACUGGGCGUAAAGCGUGCGCAGGCGGUUUUGUAAGACAGGCGUGAAAUCCCCGGGCUCAACCUGGGAAUUGCGAUUGUGACUGCAAGGCUGGAGUGCGGCAGAGGGGGAUGGAAUUCCGCGUGUAGCAGUGAAAUGCGUAGAUAUGCGGAGGAACACCGAUGGCGAAGGCAAUCCCCUGGGCCUACACUGACGCUCAUGCACGAAAGCGUGGGGAGCAAACAGGAUUAGAAACCCCAGUAGUCC
This 450-nucleotide ribosomal RNA is filed under the name uncultured bacterium. RNAcentral describes it as "bacterial SSU rRNA". It matches the Rfam family "Bacterial small subunit ribosomal RNA", at positions 354 to 796 of the family's 1533-position model. The record is from RNAcentral.